UGAAAGUCAAGGAACUAGAGUAGUAGAUGGUCAUACUUUUUAAGAGAACUUAUGGCUGGUGUGAAUAAGUAAAGUCAUCCAUUGAACUCGCUAGGGAGAUGGGUCUGUGAUAAGCAGAUCACGUAUUGCUGCGUUAAAGCAUUAAGCGCAUGAAUCAGUCUUCAUGAACUAAGGUGGUACCGCGAGUUCUCGUCCUUAGA
This 200-nucleotide non-coding RNA is filed under the name Catenibacterium sp. Its description in RNAcentral is "T-box sequence". It matches the Rfam family "T-box leader". From Rfam's summary of the family: Uncharged tRNA acts as the effector for transcription antitermination of genes in the T-box leader family. T-boxes are found upstream of many aminoacyl-tRNA synthetase genes and some amino acid biosynthetic genes usually in Gram-positive bacteria. The record is from RNAcentral. Lineage: Bacteria; Bacillati; Bacillota; Erysipelotrichia; Erysipelotrichales; Coprobacillaceae.